UCUCCUGUAGCUCCGUGGUUGAGCUUCCGAUCGGCAUGCGGAAGGUCAUAGGUUCGACUCCUGUUGGGAGAA
Desmophyllum pertusum is the source of this 72-nucleotide non-coding RNA. The record is from the annotation of a GenBank genome assembly. NCBI's taxonomy places the organism in Eukaryota, Metazoa, Cnidaria, Anthozoa, Scleractinia, Caryophylliidae.